AGUGAACGCUGGCGGUAGGCCUAACACAUGCAAGUCGAACGGCAGCACAGUAAGAGCUUGCUCUUACGGGUGGCGAGUGGCGGACGGGUGAGGAAUACAUCGGAAUCUACUUUUUCGUGGGGGAUAACGUAGGGAAACUUACGCUAAUACCGCAUACGACCUACGGGUGAAAGCAGGGGAUCUUCGGACCUUGCGCGAUUGAAUGAGCCGAUGUCGGAUUAGCUAGUUGGCGGGGUAAAGGCCCACCAAGGCGACGAUCCGUAGCUGGUCUGAGAGGAUGACAGCCACACUGGAAAUGGGGCACCGGCCAGACUCCUACGGGAGGCAGCAGUGGGGAAUAUUGGACAAUGGGCGCAAGCCUGAUCCAGCCAUACCGCGUGGGUGAAGAAGGCCUUCGGGUUGUAAAGCCCUUUUGUUGGGAAAGAAAAGCAGCAGGUUAAUACCCCGCUGUUCUGACGGUACCCAAAGAAUAAGCACCGGCUAACUUCGUG
Molecule: ribosomal RNA, 491 nt
Filed under: uncultured bacterium
Lineage: Bacteria
Description: partial 16S ribosomal RNA
Rfam family: Bacterial small subunit ribosomal RNA
Source: RNAcentral